CGGGGUGCAGCAGGCGCGAAAACUUUGCAAUAAGCGAAAGCUUGACAGGGCUAUCCCGAGUGCCAUCCGCUGAGGAAGGCUUUUACCCAGUCUAGAACGCUGGGGGAAUAAGGAGAGGGCAAGUCUGGUGUCAGCCGCCGCGGUAAUACCAGCUCUCCGAGUGGUGUGGAUGUUUAUUGGGCCUAAAGCAUCCGUAGCUGGCUAAGUUAGUCCCUUGUUAAAUCCACCGAAUUAAUCGUUGGAUUGCGGGGGAUACUGCUUGGCUAGGGGACGAGAGAGGCAGACGGUAUUUUCGGGGUAGGGGUGAAAUCCUAUAAUCCCGGGAAGACCACCAGUGGCGAAGGCUGUCUGCUAGAACGCGCCCGACGGUGAGGGAUGAAAGCUGGGGGAGCGAACCGGAUUAGAUACCCGGGUAGUCCCAGCUGUAAACGAUGCAGGCUAGGUGUUUGGACGGCCACGUGCCGUUCUAGUGCCGCAGGGAAGCAGUUAAGCCUGCCGCCUGGGGAGUACGAUCGCAAGAUUGAAACUUAAAGGAAUUGGCGGGGGAGCAC
This 551-nucleotide ribosomal RNA is filed under the name uncultured archaeon. RNAcentral describes it as "bacterial SSU rRNA". It matches the Rfam family "Archaeal small subunit ribosomal RNA", at positions 326 to 879 of the family's 1478-position model. The record is from RNAcentral.